RNAcentral lists this ribosomal RNA (483 nucleotides) under uncultured bacterium. Its description in RNAcentral is "bacterial SSU rRNA". It matches the Rfam family "Bacterial small subunit ribosomal RNA", at positions 328 to 801 of the family's 1533-position model. The record is from RNAcentral.
UCUGUGAACUCCUACGGGAGGCAGCAGUGGGGAAUUUUGGACAAUGGGGGCAACCCUGAUCCAGCAAUGCCGCGUGUGUGAAGAAGGUCUUCGGAUUGUAAAGCACUUUCAGUUGGGAGGAAGGGCAUUAACCUAAUACGUUAGUGUCUUGACGUUACCGAAAGAAUAAGCACCGGCUAACUCUGUGCCAGCAGCCGCGGUAAUACAGAGGGUGCAAGCGUUAAUCGGAAUUACUGGGCGUAAAGCGCGCGUAGGUGGUUUGUUAAGUUGAAUGUGAAAUCCCCGGGCUCAACCUGGGAACUGCAUCCAAAACUGGCAAGCUAGAGUAUGGUAGAGGGUAGUGGAAUUUCCUGUGUAGCGGUGAAAUGCGUAGAUAUAGGAAGGAACACCAGUGGCGAAGGCGACUACCUGGACUGAUACUGACACUGAGGUGCGAAAGCGUGGGGAGCAAACAGGAUUAGAAACCCCUGUAGUCCAUCAGCG